RNAcentral lists this long non-coding RNA (2805 nucleotides) under Mus musculus (house mouse). Its description in RNAcentral is "long non-coding RNA chr17:47561626-47564431". Lineage: Eukaryota; Metazoa; Chordata; Mammalia; Rodentia; Muridae. The record is from RNAcentral.
UAUUUAUUUAUUUAUUUAUUUAUUUAUUUAUUUAAUAUUUUUGGUAUCCUUAGCAUUGUACUGAGAAUUUUCCAGGCUCUGUUCCUGAUAUCUUUACAAACAACUUUGUGUGUAUUGGCAUAUGUUAUAUAACAACAAGUCUGUAUGUAUGUAUGUAUGUAUGUAUGUAUGUAUGUAUUAUGGCAGGGUUCUCGACAUUGCCUAGGUUGCCCUCAACUUUGCAACGCUGUUAAGAUUACAGGUGGACACCAUCUCUGUUGGUUUUCUUUCUAUGUAAGAUCCUAAGAGACUCUGGGUCUCUGUUUCUUUAGUCACAAAAUGGAAAUAAUACACACUUAUUGAAUAGGAUCACUGGGAGAAUGAAAUAAAAUAAUGCUUCUAUUUUAAAAAUGGAGGGGAGGGCACACUUCUAAUUCCAGCAUUCCAUUGUUGGGGGACAGGAGGAUUCCUGGUGUUCACUGGCACAGCCUAGCCCAGUGGAUGAGCAGCAGCAGGACCGGCGAGAGAACUGUCUCCAAAAGAACUUUCUCGAGAGGCUUCAGACAGCUCAGUGGUUUAGAGUAUUUGUUGUUCUUGCAGAGAAUCUGAGUUUAGUUCCCAGCACCCAUAUGGAGUGGGUCUCAAUCACCUCUAACUCCAACCCGGGGCGUCUAAUUCUCUCCAUGCUCGCCAUGGGUUUAUAUGUACAAACUCACACACAGGCACACAUAUAUAUACACAUAAUUAAAAGUAAAUAACAAUGAUGACAAUAAUGAUGAUGAUGAUGAUAGUAAAAGAUGGAGCCAAAUAUGGUAGGCAGAGGCAGGCAGGUCUCAGGGGGUUCAAGGCCAGCCUGAGCUACAUAAUUUCAGGUUAACUAGGGCUACAUUAUGAGGCCUUGUCUCAAAAAGAAAUUUAAAAAGAAAAGGUAGGUAGCUACUGUGCAUGCAUGGAUACAUGCACCCCACACAUACACAUGCGCACAAGAGCAUAUGACACAUGAGCACAUACAUAUAUACAUAUACCACCAUCGAGGAUCUAUUUCCUGCCUUGAAAGAGAUAGCAAGUGAGAGGAAGUAAAAUUAUUAUAUAAACUUGACAUGCAGGUUUCCUGAAGGGUGUCCUUUCAGCUCUGUGACCUUAAGUGACCGACCACUGUCUCCGUUGUUCUUUAAUACAAGCUGGAGGAGAGGGCCGCAGAGCAAGUACCUUACCUAUAGUAUGUACUGAAUCCUGGGGACAGCCCUGCAAGAUUCCGGCCAAAGACAAAUCUGAGAUUCAGGCAGGUUAAGUACCAUGCUUCAGACUACACAGCGCACAGCCACACAGCCAGCAAGCGGUAAGUUUGCAAUUUCAUUCCAGAUUGCACAUCAGAGAUCACAUGCUUUCAAGGACUUCAGAAUUGGUUCAUGAUUUUGUUUUAUUUUUGAAACAAGGUCUCACAAUGGCUCACUCCUGGCUGUCCUGGAACUUGCUGUGUAUCCCAGACCGACCUAGAACUCGUAGAGACCUACCCACCUCUGCCUCCAAAGUGCUGGGGGUAGAGCCAGAUGUCAGUCACCAAGCCGGCUCUAAUUUUGUUUUUAUUUUUGUUUAUUUUCUUCUUGCAAACGUGUCUGUGUAGUCCAGGCUGGCUUCAGACUGAUCAGGAAGUGACCUUGAAGUCCUGGCCCCUGGCUCUUCUGAAAUGCUACAACUACAGUUGUGCACGAUCAUGCUUUUUGUGAGAGUUUAUUGAUUUUCUUCGUUUCUUGGAAAUAGAUAUUUAUGUGGCCCAGGUUAGCCUCCAAGUGGAAAUAGAGCCAAAGAUGACCAUGAACUUCCAUAUCUACCUUCAAGGGACUAAAAUUGGAGGCAUACAUUAUUUGCCUGGUUCUCUGCCCUCAUUAAGCUGCGUACUCUUUUGUUACAUUUUCAUAUCAUACUGAUAUUUUUUCAAGAUAGUGUUUUUCUCUGUAGCCCUGGCUGUCUUGGAACUCACUCUGUAGACCAGGCUGGCUGCAAACUGAGAAAUCCAUCUGCCUCUGCCUCCUGAGGGCUGGGAGUAUAGGUGUGUGCUACCAUAGCAGCUCCCAUGUUAUACUUUACUUAGAAUUUAGAAACAAAAAAUAGCCAGGCAUGGUGCACACACUUAAUUCUGGCACUGCAGGGGCAGGGGCAGGGGCAGGAGCAGGGGGAGGGGCAGGGCAGGCAGAUCUCUGAGUGUUUGGGGCUAACAUGGUCUACCUAAAGAAGAGACUGCAUCUAUAUAUGUUUGCACAUAUCUAUCUAUCUAUCUAUCUAUCUAUCUAUCUAUCUAUCUAUCUAUCUAUCUAUCCAUAUCUAUCUAUCUAUCUAUCUAUCUAUCUAUCUAUCUAUCUAUCUAUCUAUCUAUCUAUCUAUCUAUCUGAUGGUGUAUGUACCUGCAUGUGUCCAUGUGCUUGUAGGAACUGAAGGGGCCAGGCAAAAACAUCCCAUCCCAAAGAAUUGGAGUUAAAGGCAGUUAUGAGCUAUACCAUGUAGGUGCUGAUAACUGAACCCCCUUUUAACUGCUGAACCAUCUCUCUAGCCCCAAGAUUUAUUUUUAAUUGGGUGUGUGUCUCUGUGUGUGUGAAUGGAGGGGGGGGGGUUUGCAUGUAGGUGCCCUUGGAGGCCAGUGGCCUCCAGUCUCCUGGAGAUGCAGUUAUGGGUUUGUGAGCCACCUGAGGUGAAUGCUGGAUAGUAGAAAAGUGUUAUUCCAAGCUGGACUUUGUGGGACAGACACACUUGUAACCCUGACACCUUAGAAGGUGAGGCAGGCGUGUCAUGAGUUUGAGGCCAGGUUGGUCUACAUAAGAAACCCAGACU